GACGAACGCUGGCGGCAUGCUUAACACAUGCAAGUCGAACGGAAAGGCCCUGCGGGGUACUCGAGUGGCGAAUGGGUGAGUAACACGUGGGUGAUCGGCCCUGCACUUUGGGAUAAAUCUGGGCAACUAGGGCUAAUACCGUACAGGACCACGGCAUUCAUGUGCUGUGGUGGAAAGCGUUUGCGGUGUGGGUUGGGCCCGCGGCCGAUCAGCUUGGUGGUGGGGUAAUGGCGUACCAAGGCGACGACGGGUAGCCGGCCUGAGGGGGUGACCGGCCCAGCUGCGCCUGGGCUGCGGCCCAGACUCCUCCGGUAGGCAGCGGUGCGGAAUAUUGCACAAUGGGCUCAAGCCUGAUGCAGCGCCGCCGCGUGAGGGAUGACGGCCUUCCGGCUGUAAUCCUCUUCCGCCAGGGCCGAAGCGCUAGUGACGGUACCUGGAGAAGAAGGUCCGGCCAACUACGUG
RNAcentral lists this ribosomal RNA (462 nucleotides) under uncultured bacterium. RNAcentral describes it as "partial 16S ribosomal RNA". It matches the Rfam family "Bacterial small subunit ribosomal RNA", at positions 28 to 507 of the family's 1533-position model. The record is from RNAcentral.